GACGAACGCUGGCGGCGUGCUUAACACAUGCAAGUCGAACGGAAAGGCCCUGCUUUUGUGGGGUGCUCGAGUGGCGAACGGGUGAGUAACACGUGAGUAACCUGCCCUUGACUUUGGGAUAACUUCAGGAAACUGGGGCUAAUACCGGAUAGGAGCUCCUGCUGCAUGGUGGGGGUUGGAAAGUUUCGGCGGUUGGGGAUGGACUCGCGGCUUAUCAGCUUGUUGGUGGGGUAGUGGCUUACCAAGGCUUUGACGGGUAGCCGGCCUGAGAGGGUGACCGGCCACAUUGGGACUGAGAUACGGCCCAGACUCCUACGGGAGGCAGCAGUGGGGAAUAUUGCACAAUGGGCGGAAGCCUGAUGCAGCAGCGCCGCGUGCGGGAUGACGUCCUUCGGGUUGUAAACCGCUUUCGCCUGUGACGAAGCGUGAGUGACGGUAAUGGGUAAAGAAGCACCGGCUAACUACGUG
RNAcentral lists this ribosomal RNA (468 nucleotides) under uncultured bacterium. RNAcentral describes it as "partial 16S ribosomal RNA". It matches the Rfam family "Bacterial small subunit ribosomal RNA", at positions 28 to 507 of the family's 1533-position model. The record is from RNAcentral.